This 405-nucleotide ribosomal RNA is filed under the name uncultured bacterium. Its description in RNAcentral is "partial 16S ribosomal RNA". It matches the Rfam family "Bacterial small subunit ribosomal RNA", at positions 28 to 526 of the family's 1533-position model. The record is from RNAcentral.
GAUGAACGCUGGCGGCGUGCCUAAUACAUGCAAGUCGAGCGAAGCGGGGACGGGUGAGUAACACGUCGAUAACCUCCUAUAAGACUGGGAUAACCUCGUGAAACCGGAGCUAAACCGGAUACUGUGAGAUUGAUCCGCGCUGCAUUAGCUAGUUGGUAAGGUAACCGCUUACCAAGGCAACGAUGCAUAGCCGACCUGAGAGGGUGACCGGCCACACUGGAACUGAGACACGGUCAAGACUCCUACGGGAGGCAGCAGUAGGGAAUCGUACACAAUGGGCGAAAGCCUGACGGAGCAACGCCGCGUGAGUGAUGAAGGUCUUCGGAUCGUAAAACACUGUUAUUAGGGAAGCGGUACCUAAUCAGAAAGCCACGGCUAACUACGUGCCAGCCGCCGCGGUAAUUC